GGUUAAGCGACUAAGCGUACACGGUGGAUGCCCUGGCAGUCAGAGGCGAUGAAGGACGUGCUAAUCUGCGAUAAGCGUCGGUAAGGUGAUAUGAACCGUUAUAACCGGCGAUUUCCGAAUGGGGAAACCCAGUGUGUUUCGACACACUAUCAUUAACUGAAUCCAUAGGUUAAUGAGGCGAACCGGGGGAACUGAAACAUCUAAGUACCCCGAGGAAAAGAAAUCAACCGAGAUUCCCCCAGUAGCGGCGAGCGAACGGGGAGGAGCCCAGAGCCUGAAUCAGUGUGUGUGUUAGUGGAAGCGUCUGGAAAGGCGCGCGAUACAGGGUGACAGCCCCGUACACAAAAAUGCACAUAUUGUGAGCUCGAUGAGUAGGGCGGGACACGUGGUAUCCUGUCUGAAUAUGGGGGGACCAUUCUCCAAGGCUAAAUACUCCUGACUGACCGAUAGUGAACCAGUACCGUGAGGGAAAGGCGAAAAGAACCCCGGCGAGGGGAGUGAAAAAGAACCUGAAACCGUGUACGUACAAGCAGUGGGAGCCUCUUUAUGG
This 550-nucleotide ribosomal RNA is filed under the name Escherichia coli. RNAcentral describes it as "partial 23S ribosomal RNA". It matches the Rfam family "Bacterial large subunit ribosomal RNA", at positions 1 to 590 of the family's 2925-position model. The record is from RNAcentral. Lineage: Bacteria; Pseudomonadati; Pseudomonadota; Gammaproteobacteria; Enterobacterales; Enterobacteriaceae.